Long non-coding RNA from Hemibagrus wyckioides, 2402 nucleotides. RefSeq lists it as uncharacterized. The transcript has 3 exons. Lineage: Eukaryota; Metazoa; Chordata; Actinopteri; Siluriformes; Bagridae. The record is from RefSeq and is a predicted model, not a curated record.
CACUUUUCCACAGUUUUACAGAACAUUUUUGAAAAUGGUGGACAUAUUAAACAACAACUUCGGAGAAGUACGACUUCCUGAUCCACAUGCAUUCUUUGCAGAUACGCCCAACUUCGUGCCUCGAACUGAUGGUGACCUGAAUGAUUCUAUGGCUGCAGCUUUUCCUGGCCCUCUUAUGAGCAAUACAAUGCAGAAAGAGGACCUGAUUCAGUUCAUUCAAUGAAAAAGCUGACAACAAGGAGCCUUAAUUAUUUUGGCAGAUGAUGGACUUGUUCUGCCUUCACAGUGGAGUAAGUGUGUGUCUCAAAUCUCUGGAGGCGGAAGGAGUAGAAUUGCAAUUGCACGGAAAUGGAUAUUCAAAAACCUCCUGGAUCAGGUUAGCAAAAUAAUCCGCAGAGGACUUUACUUACUAUCCCAUACGCCACGUAGACUUCGGGUUGAUGCGAAAAAUAGUUGUCGCAUUGCCGAAGGAAGCCGCAACAGCGGUUAGCAGAGCCAUCUAAUUUUUCCGGGAGGGCCAUUUGGGGAAUUUUCCCGCACGUUGUAUGUGCGGAAGCCGCGGGUUAUACGGUGGGAGCAGGUGCGGCUUGAAGCUGCUGAUUAGCGUUUUGCAGGGCUUUGACUCACUGCACUGUUAUCGCCUGUAAAUCUGCUGGAUUCGUGGGUGGCAAAGUAUACUGUCUCAAAUCGCCGGAGGCGGAAGGAGUAGAAUCAAUUAUGCAGAUUUAUUAAGAUCAAAAACAGCAGGCAAAAACGUAAUCAAGGACGUAGCAAAGAUCAACACCAGAAAAACAGUAGAACGGCAAACAAACCCAAAUCACUAGGCAAAAACAGAUGUCGAGAAGCAAAGCUAAGGUCAUUCACAAAUAUGCAAAUCAAGGGCAAUAGUAAACAGCUAUGUACGUACACAGAGUAAACAAUACUUCGCAGAGAACAGAGAGUGUGUGCCUCGUUUAUGUCCGUGGGGAAACCAUAAUCCUAAUGUUUAAAACUCGGGAGAGGGCUCCCUCUGGUGUUUGACCUCCAGCUGAGCCGUGACAGAGCCCCCCCUCUAGGAACACCUCCAGGUGUUUGAGAACACAGCCGGCCAUGUGGACGGGAAGCAGGCUUGUCUGGGUGAGAGUGGUGAAAUUCCCCUGUCAGAGAGGGGUCUAGGAUAUCAAGAGUGUGUGAACUUGGUACACAGGUGACCCAUCUAUAUCCAACAGAGGGGGAGGUUCGAGCAUAUGUGGGUCAGCGGGGUGGGAUUGAUGUGCCGGCUUGAGUAGGGAGACAUGAAACAUGGGAGAGAUUCUGUAUGAGGAGGGGAGUUGGAGACAGUAGGCAACAGGAUUGAUGCGACGAAUUAUCUUAAAGGGACUGAUGAAUCUGGGGCUGAGUUUACGACAUGGGAGUCUCAGUUUCAGGUUUUUUGGGGAUAGCCAGUCCAGUUGUCCUACCCGGUAGGUGGGAUGCGGACGUUGGCGAUGGUUCGCUUUGAUGGUCUUCUUACAGCCCUUUGCAGACAUACAGGAGCCCAUUCCCAGGUUUCUUGACAGCGGCGAUGUCCAUAGUCUCGUCAGACCAUGGGAAGAGUGGUGGUUGGAACCCCAGAACACAUUAAAAAGGUGUAAGACCUGUGGACAAGUGUGUGAGUGAAUUCUGUGCAUAUUCAGCCCAGGGAAGGAACUCACUCCAGAGAUGUUGUUCCUUGCUUCAAUAGGCAUGAAUAAAUCUACCAAUGUCUAGGUUCAAUCGCUCAGUCUAUCCAUUUGAUUGGGGGUGGUAGCUAGAGCUUAGACUUACGUUUACCCCCAGUCAAGUGCAAAAGGCUCCCCAAACCUGGGAUGUCAAUUGCGUGCUGUAGUCUGAAACUAUAGUCCUCUUGCCUGUCUCCAUGGCCAUGGGGAGCCCCUUCUGAGGGAUAAGCUUGCACGUCUUGGAGAAUGGUAACCUCAGAAUGGUAACCUGGUAAUCUGGUACCCUGAAUUCGGUAAAUCUGUCAUGACGUCGAUGGAGAUUGGACUGCACAGAUUGUACAGGCUUUUACGAAGUUCUCCACAUCGUGGUCCAGUGAAGGCCACCAGAAAUGUUGCCGUAUGAGCUGCACUGUGUGUUGAAUACCAGGGUGUCCAGAACUGAGGGCUUUGUGGAUCCAUAAGGCAUGACUGUGUACUCAUAGUGUCCACUGGUAAUGUGAAAUGCUGUUUUCCAUUCAUCUCCCUGUUUAAUCCUAAUCAGUUUGUACACACUCUGUAAGUCAAGUUUGGUAAAGAUUUUAGCCCCUCGUAGCUGUUCUAAGGCGGCUGGGACUAGGGGUAGCGGGUAUGGAUACUGAACUGUGAUGGCAUUGAAGCCCCUGUAAUCAAUGCAGGGACGAAGUCGACCAUCCUUCUUUCAAAGAAGAAUCCAGCCGCCGCAGG